AGAUUUCUUAAGUUUCUCUCUUGGUCUCUCUUGGCUUCAAUCAGCAGCCCUAGAAAACCUUGGGUCCUUGAGUAUUGCCCCAUUUUCAAGUAAAAGUUUGAAGGAAAGUUUCAGUUCUUGGAGUACAAGUUUAGAGGAUAAAUUCCUAGAAACUAAGAUUAGCAUCCAAGAAGGGAGGCUGAAUUGUGACAGUGGUAUUGGUCAGAAAAUAAGG
RNAcentral lists this long non-coding RNA (214 nucleotides) under Solanum tuberosum (potato). RNAcentral's name for it is "long non-coding RNA (STUB_LNC000671)". Lineage: Eukaryota; Viridiplantae; Streptophyta; Magnoliopsida; Solanales; Solanaceae. The record is from RNAcentral.